ACUACGGGUAUGCUUAGUACGGCGAGUGAGCGGCAAAAGCUCAAAUUUGAAAUCUGGUACCUUCGGUGCCCGAGUUGUAAUUUGGAGAGGGCAACUUUGGGGCCGUUCCUUGUCUAUGUUCCUUGGAACAGGACGUCAUAGAGGGUGAGAAUCCCGUGUGGCGAGGAGUGCGGUUCUUUGUAAAGUGCCUUCGAAGAGUCGAGUUGUUUGGGAAUGCAGCUCUAAGUGGGUGGUAAAUUCCAUCUAAAGCUAAAUAUUGGCGAGAGACCGAUAGCGAACAAGUACAGUGAUGGAAAGAUGAAAAGAACUUUGAAAAGAGAGUGAAAAAGUACGUGAAAUUGUUGAAAGGGAAGGGCAUUUGAUCAGACAUGGUGUUUUGUGCCCUCUGCUCCUUGUGGGUAGGGGAAUCUCGCAUUUCACUGGGCCAGCAUCAGUUUUGGUGGCAGGAUAAAUCCAUAGGAAUGUAGCUUGCCUCGGUAAGUAUUAUAGCCUGUGGGAAUACUGCCAGCUGGGACUGAGGACUGCGACGUAAGUCAAGGAUGCUGGCAUAAUGGUUAUAUGCCGCCCGUCUUGACACCCCCGAACACA
Molecule: ribosomal RNA, 588 nt
Filed under: Saccharomyces cerevisiae (brewer's yeast)
Lineage: Eukaryota; Fungi; Ascomycota; Saccharomycetes; Saccharomycetales; Saccharomycetaceae
Description: partial large subunit ribosomal RNA
Rfam family: Eukaryotic large subunit ribosomal RNA
Source: RNAcentral